Molecule: non-coding RNA, 12222 nt
Organism: Coturnix japonica (Japanese quail)
Lineage: Eukaryota; Metazoa; Chordata; Aves; Galliformes; Phasianidae
Source: RefSeq, a predicted model, not a curated record
CAACUAUUCAUUUCAGUUUGUAUGGUCCAGGUUGUGUUUUAAAUAGGCAUGAGGAAUGUCUUAUAUUGAUAUGAAAGUUUCAAUAAUACCAGCUGAAGAAAGUUGUAACAAGAUGGAUCUAUUCUGCAACCUUCAUACUACAUCAGAGAAUGAUUUUUGGGUUGGUUUUUUUUUUUUGGUCAACUUAUAUUCCUUGCCUGUCUUUUACCAAAAUAGGUUCUUCUGUCAACAAACUGAAUUUAGCGUAUCUUUAAACCCUCCAGUGUUUUGAAUGUUUUUUGGUCAAAUGUCUGUGUAAAGGUGGUUCUGUGUUUCAAUAACAACCUUACUGUCCAUCCACAGUUACUGACUUGUGGGCUUUUUUUAAAGUCUUGUGAUGCUUCAUGACUUACACAUUAAAAAAGAAAAUGUUAUUGCAGAGAAUGGACUGUGUUUCGGUGCACAGAAAAAAAAAACUUUUCUAAAAGUUUUAUGAUUUCUGGACCAAUCUCAUGACCCUCUGUGGUCUCUCUUGACUUCUGACUGGCAUUCUGAGCAUUCCCCACUCUCUUUGCAGCACAUAAGCAGGUAGCCCAACACCACCAGGGUUAGAGUUCCAACUCUGGAAAGAUUCGGGAUUUUUCUGUAAGGAUGGGAUGGUGAUUCAUUCUGAGCUCUCACAAGACUAUCAUGCAGCUGCCCCUGUUUCAAAAUCAGCAGCCGCGCCAGCUCGUCUCCAUCAGCCUUGAGAAAACAGGAAACACAACGGUCACCACAGGAAGCGGUGCACUCUUACACACACCCCAGAAAACUUAGCUACUGAACCUAUUGCAAAAUGUUAACAGAACACUGUAGGGUACACAGAGAAAAAGACGAGAAAUCUGCUGACCUCUGGGUGCCUGCAAUUCUAAUCUUCAGUUUCUGAGGCCUAGAGUUUAAUUCAGUCAUCAACACGUCCUGUGUUUUUCAGUUAAAUCCCCUUCAGUAGGACGCUGUUAUCAGAAUGAAUAUUAUUUCGUUUCAUACCCCAAAUUUGUACAGAAGUGCAGUCAGAAGCUUCUUGUCUGUAGGGCUGACAGACAAAGAUAGCAAUAGAAAAGAUGGAGAGGACUAUGUUUUAUUAAUCGUGAUUAACUGUGUACUCAUUUCCUUGGUAACGUGGAAGAAAUUGGUGUUUUUAGGGUGGAGAUAUGUAUGUAGACCUUGUGAUUCAGAUGUUUUUCUUAUUAAGUAAGAUAAUUUGUUUCUCACUUUCUUGGUUGCAAAGAAAAGACUGAACCAUAACGUGGCAGAGAAUAGAAGUGCCCUGUGUAUGUUAAGGAGGAAUUCCUCUGAGUUGGAAAACCUCUUCUUGAGGGUGCUGUGGGACAUGGACACGACUGAGAGAAGCACAGGGUGUUCCACACAAGAAGCAGAAGAGAUGAGAGAUCAUACACUAUGCUAAAAGACUUGCAGUUUGAGGUUUUCUAUUGUGCUUGGGUAUGACAAAUGAUCUUAAAAAUUUCUCCUCCAGAUUCGAAGGGGAACAAAUCCUCAUUAGGUGCUGGUUGCUGGACAAGUAAAAUUUUAGUAGGCACUUUCAAAUUAAAUAAGUUAGUUGAAUUAAAUAAGGUGUAAAAGAAGUUCAGUAAUACAUGGCAGGAGAGGAUCAGAAAUGGAAGGUGAUGCUAGCUAUUUAAACCAGAUCUAGGCAUUAUUUUUCUGUUAGAUGUUUAAUUUGUCCAGUAAAUGGGCAGUUUGAGACUUGGUCCUGGAAAUAACUGAUUUGCAAGUUCUUGCUAAGCUCUCUGAAUUAUUUAGGUUGGGCCGUAGAGGCUGUUGAAAGCUGGAUUUUUGUUGUUGUUGUUUGUUUGUGUCAAAAUUUAUCAAAAGUUGAAGUGAAAAAGUUUUUAACUUUUAUUUGAACGUAAUGUUUUGUUCAACAAAUUAAAUCUUGGUGGAUAUUCACAUUAGUAAGAGAAAUGUGAUAAUGAUUUAGGGUGAAUUAUCUGCCCUCCCUGGUUUGUUUUGUUUGCUUGUUUGUUUGUCUUGAUUUCUUUGUUUUAAAAAUUCUUAAAAAGAAUAAAAAUCAGCCAGUAACAGUCAAAUUAUUCCCAUAGCUCUGACCAAACAGAAACAAAAAGUUCAGAUUCCUGAAGUCUGGUCUUCACAAGUACAGGAAAGCAAGAAGUAUUAAUAGCCAUAUUGCAAGAGUGCUGAGAGUCCUGUACAGAAAGUGAAUAUAUGAAGACAGUGUUAUCAGAACAUUAGAGAAAUAUUUCUAGGAAGUUAGCUUGGAUUUACUCAAGCAGCAAAAUUACAUGCAGUAUCUUUAAGCAAUCUUGCCUGGAUGUGAAUUGCUGACAGAUGAGACAGGCAGCAUGGAUAAAUGCUAUGUACAUCUCUUCAGCCAUUAGUGUAACAUCCUUAAUAUCUUCAUUGUCUGCCUUGUUUCAACUGGUCUUAUUCUAUGGUAAUGGAAAUACAGUUCUACCAAAAAUAAACUGAAUAUUUUACUGGCUACUGUUACUCCGGAGAAUUUCUGUCCUGGUUUCUGUUCUCCAUAUUGAUUUAGUAUGGAGUUCAUGACUUUCAACCCAGCUUACUUUUGAAAAUGCCUAAUCUGAAAUGAAAACUAAAGAAUACUUCAUUUUGAAGUAACUCAUCAUAUACAGAUUGCUUCCAUUUUGCACAGUCAUUCAGCAGGCAGCUGUAACUCCCCUCAUUACGUUAGCUCUCUUAACAGUAACACACUCUGGAAUUUUUCUGAAGCUUACAACCACUUUUUUAAAAGUAUUCUGUGUUUUUUCCUGCAAUAAAAUACAUUUUCAUUCCAUGUGUUCACUGAGAUUAGCAACAUGACCUGUUUUAAUACUAACACAUCCAAUUUCUCUUCAUUUUGAUAUGACAGCUCUCUCUUCCUGCUGGAUAUUUUGAAAGUUCUGAGAAUAUUAGUAGUUGAAGUUGAAGUUUACUGGGCAGAGUACUGCUCUGCUCCUUUUUUCCUGAUAACUAGGAUGGAGUUUUCCUUUUCUCUUGGUGGCACCCUACACAAAAUGUUUGUCUUUUCCUGUCUAGUAUUACUGGCUUUCUGUUUGUUUCUAGGAUAAUCUCCCAGUUCAUGGAUUUGUUUCAGAUUUUCUGUGGAGGUCUUAAUUCGGUGUUUUUAUGUGGACAAAUUACCAUAUCCUUCAACUCCAAGACAUGUCUUACUACUUACUUUGAUUCUUAAUGAAUCAAAUUCUGUAUCUUUGGGAAUGUUAUGCAUAUAUGUAGGUUGCUCCAAAAGUAAUGCCUUCUAGUAAUGUCCGUGGAAACUGCAACAGAGAGUACAGUAGCACUGUUUGAUAGAGCAAGUUUUCAGCUACAAAACACUGUUUUUCAACACAGUCGCUGCCAUUAGUGAUGCAUUUUUACCAGCGAUGAACAAGAGCCUACAUGCUGCACUGAUAAAAGAUUGCAUGGCCAUUUGGAACUUUGCUUGUCUUGUCUUUCACAUUGCUGUUACCACUGCUGAAACACAGCACCAGCUACCUCAGUGGGAUGACAUCCACUGUUUAGUUCCAUAAAUGUUCAGCAACUGUCAGUGAUUGUCAAUGGGUGCAAAUUUUUCUGCAUGAAGAAAUUCAGUGACACACCUUUCUUCAGACACACUUCUGUGGCAGAUACCGUUUUGUCAAGCUACCCCUCUGUUGUCAUCUGUCACACAACAACAAAAUGUAAAGGAAUAUUGGUGGGAAGUUUCAAACUCUACUGCUGUACCACCAACAUAAUAAAGUAGGAGGCAUUAUUUUCAGAGCAGCUCUCAUACUUAAAAUUGGCCCUUUGGAACUCCUUAUCAUGCCCAUGUAAAUGUGAAAAAAUAACCUGUCCUGAGCACAGAGGAGAUCCUUAAAAUAUGUGCUCAUGUGACAGUUCAUCCUAGAGACCAAACAUUCAGAAAUAAACCAUGCUACCACUUUUUUCUCAUCUACUUUAUUCAGCUUUAACUGCAAUUCACAGUUGCUUCCAGAUGUUUUCCAGAGGUCUGAUAUUCAUCCUCACCUCUUUUUAAUUUAGCAAUUACGGAGAUUUCUUUUCUGCUUUUAGCCUAUCCAACAUUAGUAUUAAUAACUUUGGUACUUUUUCUUAAGAACUUCUUAAGUUCUGAAAGAAAAAAAUCACCAUUACCUUCACUCUUAUUACUUUAAUAUGCAAAGCUGUUGUAGAUGAACAGGGAAACCAUGGAUUUAAGUCCUCAUAUGUUUCAUGUGCUUGUUAGACUAGCUCAUACUUUCUGAAAACUGUACUUUAUUCGUGGUCUAAUAUGCAGUAUGAAAAUGAUGUAAAGUGUGAGGCAAGAAAUAGAAGGGAAGGGGUACAUUUUAUGCAAAUGUACUCAGAAAGUGUUCAGGACUGGUGACUUCUAAGUGCUUAGGAAGCUGUGAGAUUGCUGUAGUGCAAAAGGUUCUGGGGGCCUCUCACUGGAGAAAGCAUUGUCUGGUUGGACUUAACACAGCAAUUUACAACUCAAGUAGUUAGGAAACUGCCCUUAAGGCUAGAAAAAUCUCCACCUGUGAAUUAAGGCAUAAAUUGUGUUCAGCUUUAUCAUAUAGGUGCAAAUUUGAAAAUGGAAAACAGUCUUUAAAAUGUGAGCAUAGUCAGGAUUCUUUAAGACCCAAAUGUGCUCUAAAACAGGCUAAGUUACAUUUAAUUACACUUCAAUUUUUUCUUACUAUUUCUUUAGGGAGAACUUUGUUGAAGUGUCAAGCUUCUAUAAUCUCUCCUGCCUAUGCCAGUGCAGUCGCUGAGUUUUGCCUUCCUUUCUUGCUACCUUCCUUUCCACUCUUGCUAUCAAGACUUCAAAGAAGGCCUCACAUAAGUAUCAGAAAUGCACCACAACAGUAAGCAUCAUUUCUCCAGUAGCCAUUCCAUAUCACACCUUUCAGUAGUCAAUAACUUCUUUCUAAUGCCUCAUAACCUAACUUGCCCAGGCUGCAACUACUUAGAACUUGUUUCAUGAAAUAUAGCUCAGGUUUCUUUGCUUAUUGUGUUGGCUGGCACUGUUAAUUGACGGUCCAAGAAAAAUAAGCACACAAACAAAAAGUAUUAGAGCAAUGGAAAAAGGGAAGAAAGAAAUGAGGAUUGGAAGUUCAAAAUGCAGCUUAAUCUCUUUCAUACUAGCAUAUUUUAGUCCAUUAGUUUCUCAAUUCAACUUUAGGCCAAAGCAUUAAUUGAAACUUAAUUUUGUUUCAUUUAAAAAAAAAAGUAAUAAAAAAAAAUAAAAAAGCAGAGAGGAAAAGAAAAAAAGAUGCCCAUGAGAUAUGCGAGGAUGGGUAUAUCUGUGAUAACUUCAGUAUUAGGACUUAAUAAGAAAUGUAAAUGUUUACCUUUUUUCACAGCUUUUACAAUGUGUAGGGAAAGCAAUCUUUCACUUCUUAGACCCUCAAGACUUGACUUUCAUACAUCUUGAGCUUUCUUGGUUUCAAGUGCCAUCAAUUGGAUGUUAAGGCUACCAGGUAAUCUACCAAUAAAUAAUCUAAUCCUCCUCAGAGCUGCAUGUGAUACAUGAAGUAUUUUAUAGGAUUAUCAGUAGUUUCAAAGCUAAACCAGUGCAGAAAAAUAUUUCCAUCUUUUCACAAUAAGAGAAAAAAAAACUAACAUUGCUUUAUUUAUUGCUCAAAACAAAUGCUUUUGCUUUGCCUUAACAAAACCAGUAUCCACAGUAUGCCAAUUAUGUCUUUUGAAUGACAGAGUUUCUACAUGCCAACUCCUAUUCUGGUUCCUUCAUUUUUUCUUAGAGGGGUUAAUUUCCUUAUGUCACAUUUAUCUGACAGAACUCAAGUUAUGGAUAGAGCUGAACUCAGAAUGAACAGAUUUUUGUUUCCCUUUGUGAAAUUGGUAGCAGUUUUAGCCUCAUUUAAAAUUAUGUGUUUUUUCCCAGGUUUCAAUUAUGCAGUUGUUUACAAUACUUUCUGCCUUUGAGGAGACAGCUUGAGUCUGAAUCAGAUGACAGAAUGACUGGACAAUGUUUGUUCUGCUCUGGUCGUUGCUAAGGGAGAGGCUGCAGCUGCCAUAGACCUGAAUGUUAAACCCACACUUGCUUCUUUUGUAGCCCCUGAAGCAUAAAAAAAGCCUUUCUUACUGUGAAAACUUCAGAAGAUCUUCCUCAAGGUGGGCUAAGGACUCCUUUGAGGAUAUCAGCUCAGAUAUUCCAGUUGAGUUUUUUUUUCUUUCUCUUUUUUUUUUUCCCCUUAAAUUUUAUUUUUUUAUUAUUUUUCCAGUGCUUCCUGUCCUGUAUAUUUUUAAUGUUAAUGUCUGCUGAAGAACUGGAGUUUGAUUUUGGUGCAACAUUUUUCAGAACCAUUAGUUUCAGUCUCUAACUUUCAAAACUAUCAGUCUCAGUCUUGAUGACCAUGCACUAUUAAGAUGGGCUUCAUUUAUCACUGACAUUUCCUACAAAGAAAAGCAAUUAGAAUUAUAGAAGGCUUGCGUGGAGGGGAAAGGAAAAAGAUAAAAUAACCAGACCAUUUCUACCCUGCAUUUGUUCCAGCUGGUGACAAGCUUGACUAUGUCUCUCCCCCACCCAUGCAAACAGUGAGCAGUGGUUCUGUAGGUCGCAAAUGAUAUGAUUUUGCAUUUCUGCCUGCCUACUGGUUUGGGCAAAGUAAAGCAGUGGGGCUUUGCAGAGCAGGACAGCUGGUUAAACUGCUUCCUGCUGUCUGAAUCUUUCUUUCUCUUUCAAAGUGAGUUGCAGUAGUCCUUGUGGGAAGGAAGGAGAAGAUGGUGGUUUUGCACAAACAUUCUCAGUGACUGUUCUUUUUUUUUUCUUUGUGGCAAUCUUGGAAUUUCCCAGCAGGCUUUUCUUUCCUGCAGCUCCUCUGAUAUAUUUCUUCUUCAGUUUCCUUGCUAAGUCUCUGAGCCAUAACCAAACUUGUUCACUCUCUUUAGGAAACAUAAUGGAAAACUAACCUUUGAGCCAACCUUUGGAAUGCCAGGGCAGCAAUAACUCCAAAAAGAAGAGGAGGUAGGGCUGCUUCUUGCCUCUCUGGUGGGUGGAUUUUAUCAGAAUAGGUAGUGCUGAUCUGUAUCGCUCAGCCACACCAAGGUUAUACAAAGAGCAGCAAAACCCCAGGAGCAUAACAGUAGGUCUGCUUUUAACCUCAACUUUUAUCUCUCACAGCCAGCUUCCUUCCCACACCACAAGCACCACGUGUUAUUUUAUACCAAGGCAACACUCAGCAACUGAGGUCUGUCUGUCCAUGGAAUGGAAAGGGAAAAGACAGAUGACAGGAACACCAGAUGUGUGGGCAACAUGAGGACUAACAAUUGUGGAGCAAUGUGCCUACAGACCAGUGCUUAACUGCUUCACGUGGCCUUCUCUGAGUUUUGGCAUGGUGGGGCCAGGCUUUUCAUUUUUUGUCUAGCUGUUACCUUCACCUUUAGGUGAUAAGAAAUGAAUACAACUGAAAACUGCUGAAUGAAAUGAGAGAAACCUGAAGAAAUCAGGGGGUGAUAGAACCUGGUUCAGUCUAUCAUGGGGCACCCAUGGCUAAAACCAGUGCCACCCUGUGCCCCAGGGUGAUAUAUUUGUUGUACCUGGAGAAUGGUAGCAGCUCCCAUCACAAAAAGGUCAUUUCACUCCCCUCCUCAUCUGAAAUUUGCUUAGCCCUAUAGAUAUGUGAGGAAACUGGUUAUACACUUUAACACAUUUCCUGAAAAUCAUCUCUAUAUGGGGAAGAGUGGUUCUUACUGCAGUUCAUGAAGAGUGAGGCCUUCUAGAGCCUUUGGCAGGAGAUAAGUCCUUGAUCAUAUGUGCCUUGAAAACAAAGAGAAACAAGGGAACACCUAAAGCCAUGAGUCUGACUGAAUGAGAACGCAUUGGUGUUUACUUUGAAUUACUUGUAGAUGUGGCAGAUACUGGCUUUUCAAGUGCUUCAUGCUCAGUGUGCUGCAGAAAUUGAAGCAGUAUUUUUCAUCCUUCAUCUCCCUGAUCUUCAACAUAAAAAGAUGAACUGUUUAAAAACACGAGAUGGAAUAGGCAAAAAACAAAACAAAACAAAACAAAAAAAACCCAAAAAAUAGAACAACAAAAGAAAAGAACACAACACUGAGACAGCUGCACAGACCAACAGCUGUGACACACACAGGAAAUUUGGAUGGAAAGAACCAUUAGUGCAUUGAGACCAUCUCCUCUCCUGUUAGCGGGGCCAGCCCCCUUCUCGCAGACUUUGCGAAAGCAGCUACUUCGUAUCAGAUAUGAUAUAAGUGGCUCUCAGAUUUUGUGCUUCCUUAGUAGAAUCUCAGGGAAAAAGCCUUUUCAGAGUUCAGUUCCUGCUUCACCUUUUCUUGUGCUCAUUGUGCAACAGAAACAGGCCUCUUCUCUGUAUUUAAGAAACUGCUCAGACUACCAUUUUGUGCUGCAUUAUCCAAAUAAUGAUGUUCUUUUGUUGUUCUACAGCAGAUUCAAUUGCAUAACAAAGCCCAUCCUAGGAUGGCUACAAGAUGACUAGAGACAGCUAUUUUGCAGCCAACCUGUUAAAUGAUUGACGUAUGUCUUAAAGGUUGGAGAAAAUAAAUAGCUGGCAAGACUGUAUGUGCCUUUUGGACAGCUGGGCACAUCUCCCAUUAAGCCUCAAAUAUUAUAGAUCCAUUUUGCAGACCAUAUGUUUAUCCUUUCAGCUCCUUAGGAACAGAGAGUAUUACACAGAUGGUAAACACAAGCUCAAAUUUUAGAGACUGUGUGGUAAGUCUGCACUGUCGUCAUCCUGAUUUCUCACUGAUAAGCUGACCAGUUUCAAGUAAUUUCCAAUGAUAACAUCCAAAAUAAGCGCUCCAUGUGUAGCUGGGUAAAUCUCAUGGCCAGUCAAUGUCCAAAAUUAUUAAAUUAAUCUAUCCAAAACAAAAAAAUGCUAAUGUUAUUGCAAACUAUUAAAGAUACUUGAUGGAAUGUGGGGUUUGGGUUUGGUUGUUUUUCUAGGACUUUUUUUUUUUACUUUUUUUUUUUUUUUCUUUUCAAAGAGCGCUAGCUGGAAAACUAUUUUUGCACUGACAAAUUAAGAGAUCUGAAGUAUUGUCUGGCUCUUGAGCACAGUCUGUCAUCUCCCACAUCUUGCCAAACACAGAAAACCAUGUGUUUUCUGUCAGAGUCCCACAACAAACCAUGUGGAAAACAAAGGGCUAUAAAUAACUCCUCCUCAACAUGAAAGGUGACUAAUCUGCUGCUUCCAAUAAUAUCACCCCCCACUCUCCAAAAUCCCCAAAUUUUCUUUACCUUUACCUGUCUUUGUGCUGAAGCCACACUGUGGCUCUCCUCUCUUUAGAGAUAUCAUUGCUACUUGUUGCUCUUUCAAUCCUCAGUGCUUGCAAAAAUACCACUUUAAUUGAUUAACAUGUCCAUUGUCUCUGCGGAAAGGUAGAUUUCAUAAAAGAGCAUGGAAUUUUAAACGCUAGCUUUGGAGAGUGUGUGCUUGAGGUCUUGUUUGUUAUCCAGGAUGCUGGGUUAAUUUACUAGUUCCCCAGCCAAUUCAUUUGCAUUCCCUAUGCCUUUAUUUCCCCGGUCAGACAUGGGGUGGGGGUGGGGAAACGCAUAUUCAGUGCCUUGUUUGAAACAAUAUGCUGCAUUUAAAAAACACUAAAACGUUGUGAGAUCCGUUGAUAAAAAUAUGAUAAAAUAAGCACUAAAUGCUACUACCACAAAGCAAAGAGUCAGCUACAAUUGCUUUACAGAGCUUAAAAUCCAUACAGGUCUGGAAAAAUAAGCAGGGAAGGAUUUCCUCCAGCUGUCUCUCCUGUCACUCUCCAUCAGCCAGGGGACACGAUUCACCCACUCCUUCUUGAAUCUGACCAACAUUUAAUGGAAAUAUGGUGCCAAAACCAGUGUUGUCUUUAUAUGUAUAUGCUAAAUAUUUCAAAAGUGUGAUUUUAACUAAACAUUUAGUGGUGAAUAAGUCUUUUUAUUUUGUGCUGUACUUUAGUAUGCAAUGGGCCAAACAAUGACAGUCCAACUGAACAAGACAGAUGAUAUCAUCUGUUGUUAAAAAUAAACUGUUCACGUUGCCUAAGUCACACGAUUAAUGGAAGUCACUUGCUGUAUUGUUAAAAGUUAUCUUCUUUUGCUCAGCAGUAAUUCUUUUCAAUAAUAUCUAUUCCUCCACUAUCACAUUUGAUUUAAAGUCUUCUCUGGCACAGGUAUCCUAAAGCUGUGCUCACCUACAGCCAAAAUAACAAUAGCACCAGUAACAAUUUUGUAAUGUGUUGAAACUCAGCAUCGUGUAAAAAACAGCAUUUCACAAUUUUGGAGUAGUUUGUUAUUUUGAAUUCAUUAUGUAUUUUGAUAACCCCAGGGUGAGUCAUAGCAGGGAAGGCUGUUAGUUGAUGAAGAACUGAAAUCUUUAUUGCUAUUCCACAUUUUCUUUUUGGCUUUGUCUGUUUAGUUGGCAAGUUGUAAAAUAAGAAUUAGGAAGAGAACGACUGAAGAAGAAUAUUCCACUGCAAAAAAGGUCUUUUCAUCUGUGAUUUUUCCUUGAUUUUUCUAACUGAUGUCACAGUUUCAAAUUGAAUUUGUGUAGAAGAUCUAUAGGUGUUUUUUCUUCAUAAAUUCAUUUAAAAAGUCAACAUUGGGAUUUUUUCCCUUCAUAUCUAGCAAUUCUAUAGGGAGUCUAUGCAUUAGUUUACGGUAGGCAAGUUAUACCCCAAUCAUCUAUGAAAAUACGAAUCCAUAAAGCAAAUAUUUCCACAUAAAACACUAAAUAUUUAUGACUUGAUACUUAGAAAAUGAUGAUAAUGUGAAGCUUUUGGAUAGAUUUAUAAUAAUCUCUUCCUUUUCUUGUGUUUUUCCAGGCCCCUCAGACUUCCUCCUCGACAUAGCUUACCCUCGUUGUGUCAUCUGAAAUCCAGGAUUCCUGUGUAUUCUCUGUAUUUCAUUCCUCUGUAGUUCCUUGUCUCUGGCCAUCAGUGCCUCCCUGACUCUAAGCAACCCCUGCCUCUUUCUGUUCUCACCUGUAUUCUCCUGUUUUUCUGUGUUGUCAAAUGCUUUCCAAAUCCUAGCCCAUGUCUCGUUUUCCAUGUACCUGCUCAAAAUUGGUUUGUGGGGAGUCCGGUUACAGCACUGGAAAGACAAAGCAUAGUUCAGCUCCAUAUACAGGCUUGGGAAUAAAGCCUGUUGUAACUAAGCACGCUAACAAAACAUUUUUGCAGUGCAAAUAAGUCCUCUGUGUGGGAGGCCAACUUUUAAAAUGUGCAGUGUGGCAUUUUAAAAUUCCCUUGGGGCUCUGACCUUGUAGGCAGAUGUCUUAGACACUGGUAAUGUGUCUAAGUGACUUUUCACAGUGAUCUGUCCAGACAGCAUCUGCUCAGCAAAACUGUCUUUUAGCAGACCAGUACAGGACAGCAUCUAAUCUCACUUAUUUCAUCCUAGUCUGAAUGAGGAGAACACAGCCUGCUUCACCUGAAGCACCUCUGCAGGAAGAGCUAGGAAAAAAAUCAGUGGCUUCAUUCUGACACAAGCAGACUCUUCAAGCUGCCCUACCAUGAUGACAGAAAGCUUCUGAAGGAAAAAGAUACUGAGAUUCCAGAGGAACUCAUGCCAGAAGAUGAGAACACCAAUCAAUUAGGAAUACAGAAACCUAAAGUCACUUCUGGAGAAAUGAGGAUGAAGAGGUUUUGCGGCACGAGGAAGGCGAGAGGAGGUCCCUGUGCCUGGCUCCUGUUGCCUCAUCGCUGUUGUAACAAAAUCCCAGCUCUUGGCCCCAGCCCGUGGGACUCUGGCUGAACCACACUGCUCACUGCCUGCUCACAGAACGUCACUGCAGCUGAGAAUUCAGCCACCAGCUGUGGAAAAGCUCCAUUGGAUGCACAGCGUGGUAGCUGCUGCCGCUUGGUGGCAUGAACUACUGACUGCACAUUUCAUCCAUAGCGCUCUCUGUGCUGGCUUACAGCAGGAUACAAACUGAAACUGAAAUCCUGCAUUCCCGAGGUCAAAGCAAACCCAUUUGCUUCACUGAACCCGGAAUACCACUAUGGAUCCCAGUACCCCCAAAUUCUCAACGGGGCUCAAUCACCUAGGAAAGCAAUGGUGACCAUCGCGGAUAUGAUCUGGCAGCACAGGGAGCUGUGCUCUGCAAGGCAGUUGUUCAGGCAAUGGAAAGCGUCUGUGAAACACAGGAGCCAUAACUGCAGAACCAAGCGCCAACUAUUUUUCCUAUGAAAAUUUGCUUUCAGAAUUCAGUGCCCACUAUAAACAUUCUGCUUGCAAAGUGAGAAAGAUAAAGCUUCUCAAACAUC